CCUACGGGAGGCAGCAGUGGGGAAUAUUGGACAAUGGGCGCAAGCCUGAUCCAGCAAUGCCGCGUGAGUGAUGAAGGCCUUAGGGUCGUAAAGCUCUUUUACCAGGGAUGAUAAUGACAGUACCUGGAGAAUAAGCUCCGGCUAACUCCGUGCCAGCAGCCGCGGUAAUACGGAGGGAGCUAGCGUUGUUCGGAAUUACUGGGCGUAAAGCGUACGUAGGCGGUUAUUCAAGUCAGAGGUGAAAGCCCGGGGCUCAACCCCGGAACGGCCUUUGAAACUAGGUAGCUAGAAUCUUGGAGAGGUCAGUGGAAUUCCGAGUGUAGAGGUGAAAUUCGUAGAUAUUCGGAAGAACACCAGUGGCGAAGGCGACUGACUGGACAAGUAUUGACGCUGAGGUACGAAAGCGUGGGGAGCAAACAGGAUUAGAUACCCUGGUAGUCCACGCCGUAAACGAUGAUAACUAGCUGUUCGGGCACUUGGUGCUUGAGUGGCGCAGCUACGCAUUAAGUUAUCCGUCCGUCGGGUAGGUACGGUCGCGAAGAAGUUAAACGUAACGAAAGAAGUAGUAAGGUACGUGUUAGAGUAGUUCGACGACGACGACGAGGAGGGAGGAG
This 614-nucleotide ribosomal RNA is filed under the name uncultured bacterium. RNAcentral's name for it is "bacterial SSU rRNA". The stretch from base 1 to 517 matches the Rfam family "Bacterial small subunit ribosomal RNA", at positions 338 to 873 of the family's 1533-position model. The record is from RNAcentral.